CAAAGUCUAAAGGGAAGCUGGAACCAGGACCAAUUGCAGUAACUGAUUGUAUACACUGACAGAACCUGGAAGCCGCUCUUGCCACCAAAGGUAAGCGAGCAACUUUGCAUAAAUCAGUCUUUCCUAUUGAGCCAAGACCAUUUCAAGAAAAAGUCUGGAGGAGUGACCUCCGCACGCCUUGGAAAGGGGAGUCAGUAAGACAGUGCGACGCUGACCACAAAGCAGAAUCCAAGGAGCCAUACUUGAAAGUGAAUCAUGAAUUUUUAUUCCACAGCUAAAAAGGAAGUCAGGCCCUGGGGUGUGGCUUGCAGUGGUGCAGAUGUGACCCAAGAGCUCAGAGCUGGAACAGGAAGAAGAUGGUGAGCACCAGAUGGGAACCUGCAUGUCUUAGCAGAUGGGUGGCCUGAUAGCAGGAUCUUGGCUUAUGAAACCUCCCUUUAAAAAAGAGGUCCUCAUCACAUGAAUGUGUGACAGUUGUAAGCACUCUUUGGGAAAUAAUGGAUGAUGAUUGGGUAAGUUGAUUUAGGUAAGUUAAUACAGUAGAACCUGGAAUGCUUGGCAUGAGAUUUUGACUUGAUACAUUUGGCAGCUAGGAACGAUUGCAGUUUUUCGGGAAGGGGAUUGACAAGGCAAAAAGAUGCUUAACAUUGGAAGAAUGCAAAAAGUAUUAGGAGGACCAAAACGACAUUUAGGCUUCUAAGGUUAAGGACUGGGUCUUACUCAUUUUGAAGCCCCUGGCGCCUACUCGCAC
Non-coding RNA from Delphinapterus leucas (beluga whale), 751 nucleotides. NCBI's taxonomy places the organism in Eukaryota, Metazoa, Chordata, Mammalia, Artiodactyla, Monodontidae. The record is from RefSeq and is a predicted model, not a curated record.